CAUCCUCAAAACCUUCUUGGUUUCUUGACCGGGAAGGCUUUGGACUUUGGAGGCUUUUGCUGGCAUUCCUUUAUUGGAGCCAGCUCCUCUGAAAUGAAUUAGUGGGGUCCGCUUUGCUGAUCCUUGACGUGAUAAUAUCUUUUCUACGUCUUGGGUUUCGCACUGUUCACUCUGGAUCCUGCUUCUAACCGUCUCACAGGAGACAAUGGUCAAGUGAUUGCCACUUUGACCCCAUGAA
Molecule: unclassified non-coding RNA, 238 nt
Filed under: uncultured Russula
Lineage: Eukaryota; Fungi; Basidiomycota; Agaricomycetes; Russulales; Russulaceae
Description: sequence contains ITS2
Source: RNAcentral